UGUGAUGUCGGCUAAGGAAACAGAUUGGCCUGGGCUAAAGUAUCUAAAGACCUUAGGAUUGCUGCAGGUCAACAGUCCCCACUGGAGAAAAAAAUCUUGAAUCUAGGUGGCGUGCAUACAACAGCAGCAAGACAACUGAUAAUUCAAAAAUAUCAAGAGGAGUAUGAAACACUCUGUAGGGAGCAAGGUCUUUCUCUUGACUACUGGCUUGCCAAAGCGGAGUCUUAUUAUAAUAAAAGAAUAAUGGAAAUGAAGAAAGAACAAGAGACAGGCAAUGAAAUCAAGAAGAGAUUGGAGGGGAAAACAACCCAAAGCAUAGAAGGACAAAAACGAUAUUAUUUGGUACCUGAGAGAGAAGUGAAACAUGUAGAAAUGCACAUACAUCGAGCAGGACAGGUCAGAGAGUUUAAGAAUAAAACAUUUAGACAAUUACCACCACGCCCUAGUGAAAUAAAAUUGCCCAAAAUUGUGCCAGAAGUACAUGGCAUCCAGAACGCACAGAGAAGAAAGCAGGUAAAUGAGAGGGAACAGAUGCAAAUUAAAGCUCACCAGGAACGCAUGAUUCGAGGGAGAGAACUUGUACAGCAAAAACUCAAGGAAGGAAUCUUGAGAAAAGACCAGAGCUGGCCUCCUAUACGUGAGAAGCAUGAGAGUGUAAAGAAAGAGAUAAAAGAGUAUGAAAGCGUUAUUGCAUAUCCACUUUUCCAGCCAUGCAGUAGCAGUCGGAUUAAAGUGAAUAUUCUUAUGGAAAAGUCUCAGAAUAGAGAAGACAAUACAAUUAUCAAGCCAUAUCAAAGAAGAUUCUUAACU
Molecule: long non-coding RNA, 810 nt
Organism: Eubalaena glacialis (North Atlantic right whale)
Lineage: Eukaryota; Metazoa; Chordata; Mammalia; Artiodactyla; Balaenidae
Exons: 3
Source: RefSeq, a predicted model, not a curated record